Molecule: ribosomal RNA, 449 nt
Filed under: uncultured bacterium
Lineage: Bacteria
Description: bacterial SSU rRNA
Rfam family: Bacterial small subunit ribosomal RNA
Source: RNAcentral
UGGGGAAUUUUCCGCAAUGGGCGAAAGCCUGACGGAGCAAUGCCGCGUGGAGGUAGAAGGCCCACGGGUCGUGAACUUCUUUUCUCGGAGAAGAAACAAUGACGGUAUCUGAGGAAUAAGCAUUGGCUAACUCUGUGCCAGCAGCCGCGGUAAGACAGAGGAUGCAAGCGUUGUUCGGAUUUACUGGGCGUAAAGGGCGCGUAGGCGGCAUGACAAGUCACUUGUGAAAUCUCUGGGCUUAACCCAGAACGGCCAAGUGAUACUGUCGCGCUAGAGUGCAGAAGGGGCAAUCGGAAUUCUUGGUGUAGCGGUGAAAUGCGUAGAUAUCAAGAGGAACACCUGAGGUGAAGACGGGUUGCUGGGCUGACACUGACGCUGAGGCGCGAAAGCGUGGGUAGCAAACAGGAUUAGAUACCCACGUAGUCCCUGAGCGGGCUGGCAAGGCGCAU